AGAGUUUGAUCAUGGCUCAGAACGAACGCUGGCGGCAGGCCUAACACAUGCAAGUCGAGCGCACCUUCGGGUGAGCGGCGGACGGGUUAGUAACGCGUGGGAACGUGCCCUUCUCUAAGGAAUAGCCACUGGAAACGGUGAGUAAUACCUUAUACGCCCUUCGGGGGAAAGAUUAAUCGGAGAAGGAUCGGCCCGCGUUAGAUUAGAUAGUUGGUGGGGUAACGGCCUACCAAGUCUACGAUCUAUAGCUGGUUUUAGAGGAUGAUCAGCAACACUGGGACUGAGACACGGCCCAGACUCCUACGGGAGGCAGCAGUGGGGAAUCUUGGACAAUGGGCGCAAGCCUGAUCCAGCCAUGCCGCGUGAGUGAUGAAGGCCUUAGGGUCGUAAAGCUCUUUCGCCAGGGAUGAUAAUGACAGUACCUGGUAAAGAAACCCCGGCUAACUCCGUGCCAGCAGCCGCGGUAAUACGGAGGGGGUUAGCGUUGUUCGGAAUUACUGGGCGUAAAGCGUACGUAGGCGGAUUAGUCAGUCAGAGGUGAAAUCCCAGGGCUCAACCCUGGAACUGCCUUUGAUACUGCUAGUCUUGAGUUCGAGAGAGGUGAGUGGAAAUUCCGAGUGUAGAGGUGAAAUUCGUAGAUAUUCGGAGGAACACCAGUGGCGAAGGCGGCUCACUGGCUCGAUACUGACGC
RNAcentral lists this ribosomal RNA (691 nucleotides) under uncultured Alphaproteobacteria bacterium. RNAcentral's name for it is "bacterial SSU rRNA". It matches the Rfam family "Bacterial small subunit ribosomal RNA", at positions 8 to 746 of the family's 1533-position model. The record is from RNAcentral. Lineage: Bacteria; Pseudomonadati; Pseudomonadota; Alphaproteobacteria.